ACUUUUUUCUGAGAUAUUUGUCACUGACAGUAAGAAAACCACCAAUAAAUCGAGCUAAAGUCUGUGUAUCUUUGUUGUAUCAUAGAACCUAGUGUAUUACACAAGUGAAGGUUGUAACUUUGAACAAAGAUCACUGACUAUAGUAUACCAAAUAACCACAAUUAUUGUUUAGUUGUCGUUAUUAUUUUGUAUCAUUUCACGC
Molecule: long non-coding RNA, 202 nt
Filed under: Mytilus galloprovincialis (Mediterranean mussel)
Lineage: Eukaryota; Metazoa; Mollusca; Bivalvia; Mytilida; Mytilidae
Source: RNAcentral